This is an unclassified non-coding RNA of Mustela putorius furo (domestic ferret), 105 nucleotides long. It matches the Rfam family "Y RNA". Rfam says of the family: Y RNAs are components of the Ro ribonucleoprotein particle (Ro RNP), in association with Ro60 and La proteins. The Y RNAs and Ro60 and La proteins are well conserved, but the function of the Ro RNP is not known. The record is from Ensembl. NCBI's taxonomy places the organism in Eukaryota, Metazoa, Chordata, Mammalia, Carnivora, Mustelidae.
GGCUAGUUCAAGUAUAGUGGUAUUUAAAAUUAAUUGACCACAGCCAGUUAAAGUUUAAUUUUUUGUUCAAUCUGUAUUCCCACUGCUUCACCUGACUAGCCUUUA